RNAcentral lists this ribosomal RNA (494 nucleotides) under uncultured bacterium. RNAcentral describes it as "partial 16S ribosomal RNA". It matches the Rfam family "Bacterial small subunit ribosomal RNA", at positions 28 to 507 of the family's 1533-position model. The record is from RNAcentral.
GAUGAACGCUGGCGGCGUGCUUAAUACAUGCAAGUCGAACGGUGAUUUGCCUUCUUUUUUGGUGGGUGUGGCUGAGUGGCGAACGGGUGAGUAACACGUGCGUAACCUGACCCCUUCUUUUGGAUCACCAAAUGAAAGCGUGUCUCAUACGAGAUUGUCUGCGUCUGUCGCAUGAUGUGUCUGGGAAAGAUAAUGUUUCGGUGGGGGAUGGGCUCGCGGCCUAUCAGCUUGUUGGUGGGGUGAUGGCCUACCAAGGCGGCGACGGGUAGCCGGCCUGAGAGGGUGGACAGUCACACAGGGACUGAGAGACGAGCCAGACUCGUACGGGAGGCAUAGGUGGGGAAUAUUGCACAAUGGGCGCAAGCCUGAUGCAGCGACGCCGCGUGAGGGAUGGAUGCCUUCGGUUUGGGAACCUCGUUCGCCAGUGAAGCAGGCCUGCCUCGUGUGUGGGUGGGUUGACGGUAGCUGGAUAAGAAGCGCCGGCUAACUACGUG